RNAcentral lists this ribosomal RNA (423 nucleotides) under uncultured bacterium. Its description in RNAcentral is "bacterial SSU rRNA". It matches the Rfam family "Bacterial small subunit ribosomal RNA", at positions 358 to 773 of the family's 1533-position model. The record is from RNAcentral.
GGAAUAUUGGACAAUGGGCGAAAGCCUGAUCCAGCCAUGCCGCGUGUGUGAAGAAGGUCUUCGGAUUGUAAAGCACUUUAAGUUGGGAGGAAGGGUAGUAACUUAAUACGUUGCUACUUUGACGUUACCUACAGAAUAAGAACCGGCUAACUUCGUGCCAGAAGCACCGGUAAUACGAAGGGUGCACGCGUUAAUCGGAAUUACUGGGCGUAAAGCGCGCGUAGGUGGUUCAGUAAGUUGGAAGUGAAAUCCCCGGGCUCAACCUGGGAACUGCUUUCAAAACUGCUGAGCUAGAGUACGGUAGAGGGUGGUGGAAUUUCCUGUGUAGCGGUGAAAUGCGUAGAUAUAGGAAGGAACACCAGUGGCGAAGGCGACCACCUGGACUGAUACUGACACUGAGGUGCGAAAGCGUGGGGAGCAAAC